AGCGCCUCGUGAAUUCAUCUCCGGGGGUAGAGCACUGUUUCGGCAAGGGGGUCAUCCCGACUUACCAACCCGAUGCAAACUGCGAAUACCGGAGAAUGUUAUCACGGGAGACACACGGCGGGUGCUAACGUCCGUCGUGAAGAGGGAAACAACCCAGACCGCCAGCUAAGGUCCCAAAGUCAUGGUUAAGUGGGAAACGAUGUGGGAAGGCCCAGACAGCCAGGAUGUUGGCUUAGAAGCAGCCAUCAUUUAAAGAAAGCGUAAUAGCUCACUGGUCGAGUCGGCCUGCGCGGAAGAUGUAACGGGGCUAAACC
This 314-nucleotide ribosomal RNA is filed under the name Escherichia coli. RNAcentral's name for it is "partial 23S ribosomal RNA". It matches the Rfam family "Bacterial large subunit ribosomal RNA", at positions 876 to 1188 of the family's 2925-position model. The record is from RNAcentral. Lineage: Bacteria; Pseudomonadati; Pseudomonadota; Gammaproteobacteria; Enterobacterales; Enterobacteriaceae.